Long non-coding RNA from Chenopodium quinoa (quinoa), 1062 nucleotides. RefSeq lists it as uncharacterized. Lineage: Eukaryota; Viridiplantae; Streptophyta; Magnoliopsida; Caryophyllales; Amaranthaceae. The record is from RefSeq and is a predicted model, not a curated record. The transcript is spliced from 3 exons.
GCCAGCUCUUAUUCUCCUACAAACGUUUGUUCUCAUACAAACCUAAGAAAUGAUGAUAAGUUAUUUCCUUAAGCUUUUGGGGUAUUGUAUUUGUAGAUGCAUAAAAAUACACAAUUCAAAGCAAAAGUGUAGUGUUGGUAUUGGGAACUCAGCAUUAUAAAGCUAGGAGCCUUGUCUCCAUGUCACGUUCCAAACCAGAUAACAUCUUCAUUCUAUAUUUCUUCCUUUUCUCUCGCCUCUAGGUUCGAGAAAGUGUAAGAAAAUCCCUUAAACCUAUAAAGGAAAUAAUAUAUCCAACCUUCCUCCAAGACAAGUUUAGACCAAUUCCUCUUAUGAAGAAAGCAACAAUUCCUUGCCUUAUUUGCUUUUCCUAGCUACUUCAAUUCAUUUCCUCUCUUAUAAGUUAUCUAUUUUAAUUAGGUAGAGCCACAACAUAAAUUCAAAACCCUAAACACAAAAUCUUAGACUAAUUAAGUAAUUAAUAAUCUAAUAUUAAUAUCGCACAAUUGUUUCUCAUCAUCAUGCAAGCAUAAUAAAGCUUUUGCUCUUCAUAGGUUCUUCUUCCUCCUUAGUUUUAUAUAUAAACUUAUAUACAAGCAAAGAGGAGGAGAACAAAUUAAAGAAGUUGGAAUAUGAGUAGUGGGAGAUUUAAUAGGUCUAUUAAGGGCUUAUUAAGAUUAAUAAGCUUUUUGUGGCUUUCUUUGGUUGGAGUUUUAGCUAGUAGAGGAACGACGACGAUGGCAACAACAAAUCCUUUAGACAAGAAUAAUGUGAAUCAUGAAGUGCUCACGGUUGGAAGAGAGAAGCACUUAGCUCGCUCGAAGGUGAAUAUAAACUACAUGAGCAAAAGAAAAGUACCUAAUGGUCCUGAUCCCAUACAUAACAGGCAUCUUCCUUAAAGUGACUUACAACAACACUUAGCAUUUUGAAGCUGCUUUUGUUGCCUUAUCAAAGUAGAUAGCCUGUCUUUUCAGUCUCUGCGAGCCGGAAAUUCUAGACGACCACCAGGACAAGCUUAGGGUAUGUACAAGAGCCUGAGGAGCAUCAUCCAUUAUAGUUCAC